UGUGCCGCAAGGCGGACUUAUGCUGCACCACAGCGUAGCCCAUAGAACGGGCAUAGGACUACUUUUUAAAGGAGAAAACAAAUG
The submitters of this non-coding RNA (84 nucleotides) gave its source as unclassified sequences. The record is from Rfam.